AGAGUUUGAUCCUGGCUCAGGAUGGACGCUAGCGGCAGGCUUAACACAUGCAAGUCGAGGGGUAGAGGAAGCUUGCUUCCUUGAGACCGGCGCACGGGUGCGUAACGCGUAUGCAAUCUACCUUGUACAGGGGGUAUAGCCCAGAGAAAUUUGGAUUAAUACCCCAUAGUAUUAUUGAAUGGCAUCAUUUGAUUAUUAAAGUUCCAACGGUACAAGAUGAGCAUGCGUCCCAUUAGCUAGUUGGUGUGGUAACGGCACACCAAGGCGACGAUGGGUAGG
This 279-nucleotide ribosomal RNA is filed under the name uncultured Flavobacterium sp. Its description in RNAcentral is "partial 16S ribosomal RNA". It matches the Rfam family "Bacterial small subunit ribosomal RNA", at positions 8 to 287 of the family's 1533-position model. The record is from RNAcentral. Lineage: Bacteria; Pseudomonadati; Bacteroidota; Flavobacteriia; Flavobacteriales; Flavobacteriaceae.